UUUUUGCUUGUUUUAUUUUUUGGAGUCCACGUCUAAGUGAAAUAUGGCACUUGUCUUUCUCUGACUUGUUUCACUUAGUCUAAGAUCUUCUAGAUCCAUCCAUGUUGUCCCCAGUGGCAAGAUUUCAUUCUUUUUUUUUUUUUUUACGGCUAAUAUUCCAUUGUGUGUACAAAUAUUUCUUUUAAAUGCCAGGCCUCAUGGUUCAUGGCCGCAUUCUGCUUGGACCAGGUACAGAAGUAGCAAACAGUUCACACGAUUUUCAGGUCUUCUAGGCCCUGGCCAGCAAUCAAACAUAGGCCUGGGGGGGGGCGCUUUGUUCAUUCUGUUUGGGGAUGGCAAUAUUAAAACAAAACACUUCGCAGUCCCAGCUCCAUUCAUCAAUAGUCAUUUUAGGUGAAUUUGUCAUGAGGUAUCUAAACAUCUACGUUCGGGUGUUUUCCAAAAUAAUGCACUUGCCCCGUGAUUUUAAGGAAGGAGACAACUAAAACAGCAGCAGCAGCAGCAGCAGGAAAAACAACUCUAGCUUAUGCUCAGGUGGUAGAGAGGAGUUAAGCUUUAUUCUGGGAUUUCUCCUACUGAGCCUACUAAGUCUACUCAAAUAAAUGAAGCAGGGAGGAUGAUGGCUCCAUCCCAGAAGUGGUCUGUCUCAACCUGGGGUCGGGCUGCUCCAGCCCUCGUUUCUCACAAAGGAAUCCCUCCCACCUACACCAGUUUCUAGGACCAACCCUAACCCUAGUGGAGAUGUGUGGGGACUUUUGGGGCAACCCCCUGGGGCCCCACCCAAGUCUCCCCAGAAUGCCAGCUCAGCCCUGACUUCCUGCCCCAGCUCCCCUACCUACACUUGCGUUCUUUCUUGUUCCUUAGCCCUCAGGUCUGAAGCUCACUGGACCCCUGGCUGCCUCUCCCUCCCCCAAGCACCUGGACCUGCCAUCCCUUGAACCCCAUUCCCUAGCACCGGGACUCUGUCCCUGAUACUGCCACUUCUGGCAAUAUUCCCCAAUUUUACCUGCUUCAACUUCCCAUUGCAACCCAUCACCCCAAGGGGACACCCCAAGCCUCCAGCCUUCCCUCGGCCCUUCCAUCGUAUCUGGCAGGCGGGCUCCCACCCAGGGCAAGUCUCUUGCACUCCUCCUGGGCCUGGCAGGGCCCUGAGAUACAAGACCAGCAGCUCCUCAACCAACCCUCUGCAUUUCAGACCAUGUUCUUAUUUAAACGCCCCCGUCUGAGCCUAAAAUCCAUUUACUGGUGGAGACAGAGCUAGUGAAUGGCUGUCCUCAUGAACAACCCCUAUUUCCUUGAGGUCGGCCAGCGGCUUGCACACAGCAACCCAUUAAUUGCCCUGCAGACAUCAUGAUGCAGCAAAUUUCACUCUUUUCACACACAGAUGAGACACCAAGGAUCCUGCUCUAGUAAGAACCGGGCCUAAGUUCCCUUGGCAAGACGGGAGCAAAACGAGGACUAACUCAGUCUGCUGGCUUCGUCCUGACAGUACGAACCCCCCUGGGGGCAACCACGUUUCUCUUGCCGAGUUAUGUCAGGCACCCAGCCCGGGAUGGCCGAGCCCCACUUCUGGCCAAGCUGGGGCUCCCUGGGUCCCAGCCACCUGCACGCACAACGCCAGAGCCCCCGCGUGCCCGGCCCCGUGCAUACGAGGGGCCGCCGUAUGCACUUGCCCAAAUUCCCAACUCAGUACUUCUGAUAAAACUGAUCGUUUCAAAUAAAACUGGAAGGGGGGGAUCCCUGGGUGGCUCAGCGGUUCAGCGCCUGCCUUUGGCCCAGGGCGUGAUCCUGGGGUCCUGGGAUCGAGUCCUGCGUCGGGCUCCCUGCAUGGAGCCUGCUUCUCCCUCUGCCUGGGUCUCUGCCUCUCUCUCUCUCUCUCUCUCUCUCUCUCUCUCUCUCUGUCUAUCAUAAAUAAAUAAAUAAAAUCUUAAAAAAAAAACAAAACUGGAAGGCCUUUCGCACUUCCCACUGGUACCAUCGAGGCUUCUUGGUUUCAGGCUCAGGAGAUGCCAGUCGUCAACAGAGCGCGAGAGAGGGUGGUUUGGUGCUAAUCCGACCUCUGAGCUGCUUCCGAGGUGCGGCGGAGCUCUUGGACACCCCGCGAGGCCGUCACCGGGGACACACAGCCAGCAGGUCUGGAAAGAUCGGGGGGCUGCCUCUCUGUCCAGGGCGGUGAAUGCAGCCCCUCUGCAAAGGAGCUUAAAGCUGUGGUGUGAAUGAGUAGCAAUCCACCUGUGUGCGUGUGUGUGCGUGUGUGUGCGUGUGUCUAGGGGUAUCAAAGAGGGUCUCCAGGGCAGCCCGGGUGGCUCAGUGGUUUAGCACCACCUUCAGCCCAGGGUGUGAUCCUGGAGACCCGGGAUUGAGUCCCAAGUGAGGCUUCCUGCAUGUAGCCUGCUCCUCCCUCUGCCUGUGUCUCUGCCUCUAAUGAAUAAAUAAAUAAAAUCUUUAAAAAGGGAUGCCUAGGUGGCUCAUUGGUUGAGCGUCUGCCUUUGGCUCAGGGCACAUGAUCCUGGGGUUCUGGGAUGGAGUCCCAUAUCGUGCUCCCCGCAGGGAGCCUGCUUCUCCCUCUACCUGUGUUUCUGUGUCUCUUGUGAAUAAAUAAAUAGAAUAUUUUUAAAAAUAAAUAAAUAAAAUAAAAUCUUUAAAAACAAAAACAAAAACAAAGAAAGUCUCCAAAAAGCGUAUGCACAGGUCCUAGUCCCCUGUACCUGAGACUGUGGCCUUGCUGGGAAGUAGGGCCGGUGUACAGGUAGUUCGCUAAGACGAGGUCAUACUACUGGGAGGGCCUUCAAUCCAACACCACUCAUGUGCUGUCAGGAGAAGAGGAGACACCUGAGGAAAGGGGGUCAUAAGACGACACAGGCAGAGAGUAGGUGCAUCUGCAAGCCAAGGGCCGCCAGCAACACCAGGAGCUGGAAGAGGCAAGGAAGGAUCCUCCCCUACAGGUUUUGGGGGGGGCGUCACCUGCUGACACCUUGAAUUCAGACAUCCAGCUGCCAGAGCCGUCAGAGAAAUAAAUUUCUGUUGUCCUAAGCUACACGAUUCCUUGUAUUUUGUUAGGGCAGCCCUGGGAAAUUAAUAUAAGGUAGAAAUGAAGAACUGAGGAGUCACAAAUACCUCCUCUUCUUUUAAAGAUUUUAUUUAUUGGAAUGCCGGGGUGGAUCAGCAGCAGAGCCCCUGCCUUUGGCUCAGGGCGUGAUCCCCGUCCAGGGAUUGAGUCCCGCAUCAGGUUUCCUGCGAGGAGUCUGCUUCUCCCUCCAGGUCUCUGCCUCUCUGUGUCUCUCAUGAACAAAUAAAUAAAAUUUAAAAAAAAAAAAAGAUUUUAUUUAUUUAUUUGACAGAGAGAGAGAGAGAGAGAGAGAGUGCACGUGCAGGGGGAGAAGCAGAGGGAGAGGGAGCAGCAAACUCCCAGCUGAGCAGGGAGCCCAUGGGGGGCUUGAUCCCAGGACCUGGGAUCAUGACCUGAGCGAAAGGCAGAUGCUUCACUGACUGAGCCACCCAGGAGCCCCACAAAAUCCUCUUGAUUUGGAAGCAGCACCAACUAAGAAAGAGAAAAUAUAUCUGUGAAACCUCUUCUGCCCACCUCAUGGAAAUGGAGGAAGAAAGACAAGGCCCUGAGUCCCUCAGAGGAACCUUCCCUCCCCUAAGAAGUGAGACCUAAUCAGAUCCUGAGGGGAGGGGAGGAAGGAGGAAAUCCUGUUUCCUCCAUCCUGAGCCUUUUAGCACCUCUCUGCCUCCCAUACUAUAAAAGGUACUAGACAGGUGUUUUCACAUCCAUGAUCUCAUUUAAUGGUCACGACCAUCUGUGUGACAGAGAAAGAGGGCAGGUAUUAUCAUCCCCAUUUUACACACAAGAAAACUGAGGCUCAGACGAGGUCACGGGCUGCCCAUGGACAAGAUGACCCUUCCAAAAAGAACUUGAGUGGACAAAGCAGAUUUUCAAAGGAGGUGAGAUGGGAGUGAAAUCCCAUCUGAAAAAAAAACCACCACCAACAACAACAGUAACAAGUUAAACAAAAGUGCUAGACACCUUCCGUGUCCAAACCAAAUCAAAGGGGCCUUGAUGCGCAGCCCCUUUACCUUUUUCUGAAGGUAGCGGCGUUCACGCAACGUGGAUGGAGACACAAUCUGCCAAUUCUCUAGCCAGCUUUUGACAUUCAAGUAUCUUUGAGUAAAAAAAAAAACAAAAACAAAAACAAAAAACAAAAAACAAACAAACCUGAACGUGUCUUCCAGGCCCGGGAUAUAAGGAGUCUGCGUCCCUCUCCCCGUGUGCUCUACACUCCUCAAGCACUUGCUGUGUCACCACGCGGCUCCCGCCCAGUGGUCACCUGCACCGGGACGUGCUCUCCUGGAGCUGGACUCGAGGGUCCGAGAGGCUGGAGCUCUCCCAGGCUGUGUUCAACGGCCCCGAUGACCAAGGGGGCUAUCCCAAGAGACGGCAGGUGUCCCGGGAGAGGACGGGACAGAGAGGGUUAAGCUGGAAAGCACUGGAGAUAAGGACUCUGGGCGGAGAGCUGGGACUCUAAUCAGCUGCCUUUUCCAAAUAUUUUAAUCUUUCCCCUCUGGAAAACACCCAGUCGCUGGCCACCGAGAACACUCGAUUUCUUCUUUGCAGCCAAGAUCUCAGGCACACGGGCCCCGGGACCAGCCACCAACCCCUCCGGGGUGGGGACGCCAAGCCGCGAAAUGUCAGUCCACAUUUUGUCAGCUUGAAAAUAUUAAACACCACUGAACAAAAUGUAAGGUUUCUUUUUCAGACUUAAACGUCUACUUAUUUCAAAAUGAAUUAGUGGUUCUCUGGGUUUCAUAAUGUUUAAUUCAUUAAUGAUAACUACAGCUCGAGAAUUUGAAAGGAAAUUGCUUCCAGGAUAAAAUUAAAUGCGAAACUCUAAGCAGUGAUUCAUGGCUGUUCCUAUCUAAAUUACUAAUCCGUGUGACAAACCUGGUUGGCAGCACAAAAAAAGCAAUACUAUUUCCCCCCGUUGCCUUUAUAGACUUUGCUGAAUUGUUUUUGCAAACUGCCUAAACCCAAGUCCUAGAUAAUCCCCUGCUGGCAGCCUCCAUUCCAGAGUGGGGUUCCGUACCCAGAGUCCCCGCUGCCUCGGAGAGGCUCCUAAUGGACUAAUACUUUCGUGUCUCGGAAAAGAGUUUUCUCAACAUUAAGGUUUAGACGUAUAAUCCAAUGGAUUUCCAAAGAAACUCAUUUUAAAUUAAAGGCAAAUAUCCCCAUGAUAUCUGUCCACAUCUCCCCGAAGAAACCCGCAUAAAACUAAAAAUGGCAAUUUUCUUUUAGUUUGCAAGGCAGCCUAGCCAGCUGAGAUCCAAUUACGUAUCUACCCGUUAGAACAACUGGGGCACUAGAGUCACCGUGUCGCCCAAAAGACAAGAUAAUAGAAGGCUUCUGAAGUUGCAUCAAGCCCAAGCUCCUCGGCCUCCUGAAAUUUCUCUUGUGUCUCUUCCUGCCACCACCGCCCAGCAGGCCAGGCUCACGACGUGGGGUACAGAGGAGAAGCAGGCAAGGAUACUGCUGACCACACACAGCCCCCCUCCAAAAGAACUCAGGCGACCAGCAUCCCCCAGGGCACAUCUCUGCAAACUGCUGCCAGACUAUCACAUAAAAGCCCUGCAAACCAGGUCCCCCGUCUCCUGGCUGUGUCGCACGCCAACCAUCCUGUGCGCUGCUCCUCCGUGGCAGGUCACAUCCCCACCAGCCCUCAGGGGUGCGAUUCCGUGCCAGGAAUUUACAUAUGGUGACUCCUUUAUCCUUGGGACAACUUGGGGAAGGUGUCCUCAUUGUCCUCAUAUUGCAGAGCAAGAGAUGGUGGCAAAGACGUUCAAAAUACCUGCCCAAGUUCCAGAGCAAGUAGCUGGCAGAGCCAGGAUUCACACCCACACUUUCUGCCCAAUUUCCCAGGCUUUGAGCCAUCUGAUGGGGCCACAGCACAGCUCGGAAUAUUCUACUCACUCCCUACUACCAAGGGAGCAGGGCCCAUACGGCCGCCAGGCUCUAUGGGUCCUUUGGGGAUUCGGCUACAUUUCCAGCUUCGUCUCCAGCUACCUCCCAUUCCACCUUUUCCAAUCUAUGGCACAUGCUCUUCCCUCCACCUCUUCUCCGGGACAGCUGCCAAGUCUCCCUUUGGGGUCUCUACUCCCCGCCUUUAUGCUCCUGGAGUGCCAAGCUCAUUCCUUCGGCUUCCUACUGACGCUGGGGGUGCACGUUCCUCUCCCAGCCACAGCUCUGGCUUUUCUCCGACCUGCCCCCUGGGUUCCCACAGCUCAGCAGGGCCAUGGUGAGACGUUCUGGAACCUUUGGAACUAAUGAAUGUGCUACAGCAAAUCAACAGCAACACCUAAGGGAAAAAAAAAAAAAACCCAACAGCAGGCUCGGGGGCUUGUCCCACAAUGACUCAGGUCCCUGAAGAGGGGGGUGAGAAGGCAGGACUUUCGUGAACUUUGUAAAAGCAUAUUUUUUUUCCAAUCAAGCAUUCAAACGUUGCAACCACAUGAAGGCUAGAAAACCUAGCUAUCUGCUCGCUAGCUAGUGGCUUUCCGAAACAAGCCUGUUUUGGAUUUCAAACCAGCAAGAGAUAAUCUUCAGAAUGGGAACUCAAGAGUUACCCACUCAUGACAAAAGCAAGGAGAUGGCAAACUGAAUCCACAACUCAGACUGGUUUUUAUGGUUGCUUCUGAGCAGCAGGAGGGGGGAGGGAAGAGACAUGUGAAUUUUUUAAUUUUAAGGAAGGAGUGUGUGCACCCCCUGCAGCUCUUCUGUUGCCCCCACCAUGGGGUGAAGGGAUGUAAAGCGGGCUCGACUGCCCCUAUUCAAAGUCUUACCAGGUGGGCACCCAUUCCUGACCAUGAACUGGGCAUCACACAAACCCCAAUACCAUCAGCAAUGCAGCAUGAAAAGCGAACAGUAACUCACAGCAAUCAUUUAAAAUAUAAAAUAGGGCAGCCCCGGUGGCUCAGCGAUUUAGCAUCUGCCUUCCGCCCAGGGCCUGAUCCUGGAGACCCUGGAUCGAGUCCCACAUCGGGCUCCCUGCAUGGAGCCUACUUCUCCCUCUGCCUGUGUCUCUGCCUCUCUCUCUCUCUCUCUCUCUCUCUCUGUCUCUCAUGAAUAAAUAAAUAACAUCUUUUAAAAAUAAUAAUAAAAUAAAAUAUAAAAUAAUGCUCCUAAACUGCAUACGAUGCUUAGGAAUGUCCAAUGCACACAAACUCUCUGGGGAAUCCCGCAGUACUGUGAAAAUACACAAAAUGCACAUAAAAAUACAACUCUACUGUUAGGUAAAAUUAACCUAAAACUAGUAUGCUAGCUAAAACACAGUAAGCAUUAAAUCAGUUUUGCUCACCUUCUUAAAACUCAAUGGGCCCCAGGGGGUGGUGGCAGGUGUGAGAUUUGGAUGCGGGAGCCUCCUUAACAAAACCCAAGGAGGUUCAUGGUAAUGGGUGGAGCUGGGUUUUUGUGAUCUCUCCCCAUUUCCCUUGUGGCCAGCACAGGUGUUCAGAGGGGGCCCCCCCGCUGACUACUGCAGGGGGGCUCCAAGUGUCACUGCAGGUGUACAACACUGGGUUCAGGGGUGUUUUCCUCCCAGGGAAAAGUUGUUUUAAGAUUUUAUUUAUUUAUUUGACAGAGAACAAGAGAGCACAAGCAGGUGGAGUGGCAGAGGGAGAGGGCUGAGCAGGAAGCCCGACGUGGGACUCGAUCCCAGGACCCCGGGAUCAUGGCGUGAGCCAAAGGCAGGCGCUUAACCGACUGAGCCACCCAGGAGCCCGGGGAAAAGCAUUUUUAAAAUAUUUUCUAAUAUUUCUCUCUCCCCCCAGCUUAUUCAAGGUCUCAGACCCCACAGCUGCCCAGUGUCAGCUCAGAGAGCCCAGGAUGGAGGCCAGCAAAGCCCGAUCACCAUUAGCUGCCCCUGGAGGGCACUUAGCUGCCCUGGGCAUCCGGAAAAGCCACUUCAGGUCACAAGGAAAGGUACAGGCUUUACAAGCAACUUCGAAGUUGUCCACUAAAUGAGUGAAAAAGCAUAAAUCAGCAUUGUGCCCUGUAGUGAUGUGGAGGAAAGAGGCAGAGCAGGAAAGCCUGUAGGAAAGUCAGGAGCAGGCCUUACAAAAGCAGCUGCGUGAAAAGGUCAGUGACAUACAGGAGGCUUCGCAGGUGACUUACAGUGGGUUGAUAAAGGACUGCCUAUACCUGAGGUUCUCAGGGUUCCCGCUCUAUUUUGAUUUCCUAAAUAGAAGAACCAAAAGUUUUCACUGUUUAUAAAAAGGACAGGUCUUGCAUAAGCAUUUGAAAUUUUAGAAAAGAUUUUUUUUUUAGAACAUUCUAACACCUUGCAGGUAAUCUUUAGUUCCAUGAAUAUCUUAAGUUCUCCAUUUCUUUGUAAGUAGGACUAGCUAAAGGAAGCCCCGGUCUUCACCAUUUCAACUACCACAAAAUUCUAAUUACUGAAAUCCACAGAAAUGGGAAAUCUUGGUCUUCAAAUUUUAACUGCUAACUAUACCAUAAUGAUAGCAAGAUGAAAUGAGAAAGUUUGUAAGCAUAGGACUUCGAACAGGAAACCACGACAGUGACAGUGUAACCAGGGUUCACUAGCAGCAUUUGUAUUUUCUGGUAGAGACAUGUGUGGAGCUUGUUGACUCUGAAUUUAAACCACGGGGGAAAAAAAAAAAAAAAAAAAGAGGGCAGCCCGGGUGGCUCAGUGGUUUAGCAUCACCUUUAGCCCAGGGCGUGAUCCUGGAGACCUGGGAUCGAGUCCCACAUGGGGACCAUGGAUCGAGUCCCAAUGGAGCCUGCUUCUCCCUCUGCCUGUGUCUUCCAUUCUCUCUCUCUCUCUCUCUCUAAAAAAAAAAAAAAGAAAAGAAAGGAAACAUGGGCAAGUCUAUCAACCCAAGGAAGGCUUCAUCAUGUAUCUUGUCAUCUCGUAUCUUUCCACUGCUCCUAAAAAACCUUGCCCGGUCUUGGAAAUAAUUUGGAAAUACAGAAAUAUUGUUUUACUGGACCUCAUCUGACACUAAUCCCCUGCUUUUAGGAUUAUAAAGAGGCUGGAGUGGGGGAGUGGGGCUCAGAGCGUAGCGGGAAGCCCUGGGUGGCCAAAUGUCAUUGCAGCCAUGGCUUGGCCUACACACUCCAAAGAGAAAACAGGCUUUCCGGAUCAGUGUCUGAGGAUGGGAUUUAUCACCACGAAUACACUCACGGAUGGCAUUUUUAAAAAUCUUCAUGUCAGACAUUUCAUCUCCUCGUCUCCCACACCGCUUUUUUCUAUGAAGUGACCUCACCUGCUCGGGUUUUCUCCUGCCCAAGGAAGAAAAGCGUGCAGUGUUCUCGCGGUCAGGGCCCUUGGCCCUUGGCUCUCCACUGCCUGCUUGCUUCCCCUUCAGGAAAGACUUCCCAGCCCUGCCUUCUGCACGGCUCCAGAGCCCAGGCUGGGGUCUGUGGCUCAGCCGACGAUGACCCCAACCCCACUACUCCCUGUAGGCUUUGCUUUGGGAUGUCACUGUUCUUUCUCUCCUCCUCCUUCUUCUUCUUCUUCUUUUUUUUUUUUUUUUUAAGGAGGUAGAUAGGAGAAGAGUUCUUUUAAGGUUAACCAAAAAGGAGUAAGGACCAAAGUCCUAUUUUCCUGCCAGCAUGUUUGGAGACCUCACUUCCUCAGAUCCAAGAAAAAGAAAAGUGAAGCCAAAGUAAGGGGCCAGCUCCAUCCAAGGCAAAAACGAUCCAGGUUAAAUUGAGCGCUUCGCGGCCUGUGUCUGCG
RNAcentral lists this long non-coding RNA (9752 nucleotides) under Canis lupus familiaris (dog). RNAcentral describes it as "lncRNA (ENSCAFG00000053890.1)". The record is from RNAcentral. Lineage: Eukaryota; Metazoa; Chordata; Mammalia; Carnivora; Canidae.